UUUCUCAAAGCAGAGUGCUGUUUUGGGGAAAAUAGUUAUGUAAUUAGGCAGCGGCCAGACAACCGUAGGGAUGGAAUCCACAGAUGGCGGAUUUUUGAUACCGCUUUGUCUACUAAAUCCCAUCUCACAUUU
Molecule: small nucleolar RNA, 132 nt
Filed under: Manihot esculenta (cassava)
Lineage: Eukaryota; Viridiplantae; Streptophyta; Magnoliopsida; Malpighiales; Euphorbiaceae
Description: small nucleolar RNA snoR143
Rfam family: small nucleolar RNA snoR143
Source: Rfam by way of RNAcentral